This 468-nucleotide ribosomal RNA is filed under the name uncultured bacterium. Its description in RNAcentral is "partial 16S ribosomal RNA". It matches the Rfam family "Bacterial small subunit ribosomal RNA", at positions 28 to 507 of the family's 1533-position model. The record is from RNAcentral.
GACGAACGCUGGCGGCGUGCUUAACACAUGCAAGUCGAACGGACAGGCCCGGCUUUUGUUGGUUUCUCGAUUGGCGAACGGGGGAGUAACACGUGAGUAACCUGCCCUUGUCUUUGGGAUAACUUCACGAAACUGGGGCUAAUACCGCAUAGGAGCUCCUGCUGCAUGUUGUUGGUUGGAGAGUUUCGGCGGUAGGGGAUGGACUCGCUGCUUAUCCGCUUGUUGGUGUGGUAGUUGCUUACGAGGCCUUUGACGGGUAGCCGGCCUGAGAGGGUGAACGGGCACAUGGGGCCUGAGAGACGGACCAGAAUGCUACGGGAGGCAGCAGGGGGGAGUAUGGCACAAUGGGGGGAAGCGUGAGGCGACAAUGCCGGGUGCGGGAUGCCGGCCUUUUGGUUGAAAACCGAUGUCGAAUGUGACGAAGCGGUCGUGACGGUAAUGGGUAAAGAAGCAACGGCUAACUACGUG